AUGCGUCUCUUCCAAACAUAUAUAAGCUGUACUAUUUCUAUCAAUCAAUACAAGUUGAUCUUUUCAUUCAAACACGUUAUCACGCACGCUCUGCCGAGAGCACAGGAAGGCCUCGCCGACGGUGAGAUGCCUGGACUCAUCUCUUUCUUCCUCCGCCUCAUCCGUGAGGACGGCCGCCGUCGCCGUUUCACAUCCCGUGGCCAUUAUGGAGUAGGCGGGCGCCGUCGCCGCCGAUUCGGACGCCGUGGCGCUGGACAAGGCCACCAUGCCGCUAUACGCGGCCCUCGACGUGGCCUCCGCGCCCCCAGACACGGCCAUCGCGCCGCUGCUCCCGGUGACCACGCCCCAACGGUGGCCAGCCCCAGCGCGCUUCCCGCACAUGCAGGAGAAGAGAUCCCCGAGCCCAUGCUCGCGGCUCCAACGCGGAUUCCGCCUCCGCCUCCAGCGCCGACUGACGAGCCCGGCUUCUUCGUCUUUGUGUCGUUCCCGAACGGCGCCGGAGGGACGAUCCAACCGCUGGCCCGACGCCGGUCGCGCAGCCUGAAGACGUGGACGCCGGCCCGAGUCGCAGCGCCACCGAGCACCCGCACGCCUCCACCUCCGUGCUGGACGAGGCACCGUCAUCCCCGCGCGCGGUCGCCCGACCGCGCCUCCAGGACUCCGCAAGCAUGGAGGGACGUCGCCGCCUCUUCAGUCGCGCCAUCACCGCCAUCGACCGCCGUGAAAGCAGCCACUCCGGCCUUGCCUCCGAUCUGCCGAACGGCGUCCCUGCCGGCGUCGUCUACAUCUCCUCGUCCGAGGAAGAAGGAGGCACGUCGGCGACCACUUUGUGAGAAGCAGCAAUGGAGUGUGUGGGGGUGGCGGCGCACAGGAGUUGGUCGGGAGGAUUGGGAUCCCUCGAUCCCUAAUCACCAGCCAUAUAAAGGCCAGCCGACCGCCCCCACUCCACGUGCGCUUUGGGCCUGUGCCCAGAUAGUCCCUGGCUACGGGCUGAAUUGCAGAAAUUUCUCUUUCUUUCUUCUGUUUAAUCCUUUUAACAGUAGUUGUAGCAGUAAUUUAUCACUGUUUUAG
This 1071-nucleotide ribosomal RNA is filed under the name Triticum aestivum (bread wheat). RNAcentral's name for it is "partial small subunit ribosomal RNA". The record is from RNAcentral. Lineage: Eukaryota; Viridiplantae; Streptophyta; Magnoliopsida; Poales; Poaceae.